RNAcentral lists this long non-coding RNA (3105 nucleotides) under Citrus sinensis (sweet orange). Its description in RNAcentral is "long non-coding RNA (CSIN_LNC000709)". The record is from RNAcentral. Lineage: Eukaryota; Viridiplantae; Streptophyta; Magnoliopsida; Sapindales; Rutaceae.
CACAAACUUAAUUAUCAUUUUAAAUUUAUCAGAUAGCUCAGUGGACUAACACAUGCCCAUAAAUUCAAAACAAGACGUAUUCUGUCAGCACAUUCCUCGGAAACAUACUAUUAUUCCACCAAAUUCAAAAACCAGAAAGCAUAUUCUCAUGUCUUCUUCAACGAAACCGGACAUAGUGCAACACUCGCCUAGCAAACUAAAUAAAUAAGCGGCAACUCACACGACUAAGCAAAGUCUCUCCCUCCAAUAUCCCUAGGGGGAAUUAUUUUUUGGGCUAGAAACGAAAAGUUAAGGAUUCACCAGGACUCAAUUGCUACCCUGACGCAACUCUGGGCGCACAAAAUCUGCAUCUGGUGGCACUGAAAUGUCAACAGUUGGUCUCAACUGAGCACAGACUUCAAUGGACUGGAUCAGAAAGGAAGUUGUUGAUGAGAUCCCCAUUGAUGGGGGCAUCAUUGUCCACUGCCACCAAGGCUUGUUGUGUCAGGAUGUAAUCAAAACGAGGGGCCCAUUUCCUUGAUCCCAAAUGGGCUGUGGUAGAGCAGUUGUCCACUAUAAAUGAAGCUCCACGAGCAUGCAUGAAUGGAUUCAAUGAAUCCACUGACUCAAUCACACUUUCAUUGAUGAUCUCAGAGUAGGAGUGCCCUUUCUUCCUCAGGAUCUCAAUCUGGAAUUUUUAAAUCCAAAGAGAAGGGUAUCACAAAAUCGAUGUAAGUGAAGGAUUUCAGUCUACAAACUUUAUAUCCCACAAGAAUCACUUCAAAAAGUUCAGUAUAUAAGGAUUUGGUGAAACCACAGUGUUCAAGCAACCAGUGGGGAUGAAUAAAUGCUUGAAAUAUUAAAAAUGAUAUAAACUGAUUUUCCUUUUUCAAGACUCAAGUUAAAGAAUUAUUUCAUUGCACAGGGCAGAUCAUCAUCAUACUGUUGAGAAUGUCAAAUAAAACGACAUUGAAUGAAGUUUUCAAAGACAUAAUCCGCACUUGUCAAAGAGAUAAUCUAUACUUGUCAAAAACACGAUCCGCGCCGAACGGAUUGACACAUUUCCUUCCGUAUUCACAUAUGUAAUCUUUGAAAAAAUGUAGGCUAUGCAUCUAUAAAUAACUCUCAAUGUAUAAUGUUUUAUUUAAAAAAUGAAAACAAGUUUCUUCAUGGUAUCAGAGCCAUGAAUACGCUCAAGUUUCUUCAAGUUUCGUUGCUCUGUUUGUAACAAAAACAGAGGAAACCAAAUUCUUCCCACAACCAUUUUUCCCACCAUUUUCUUCCUUAAAACCAUUCCUACCAUUACAGAAAUCCACGCCGAUCAAGAAACAAGCCACCCAUACGUAAAAAAGUUGAGUUUACAAAUUUAUCAACAAUCCCAUAAAUUUUCCAAGAGUGUGUUCCUCAAAAACUAAGAAUACCAUCAAAUUUCUCAGUUUCCAAUAAGCAAAUUGUAAAAUUUUUGCAUUUAAACACAUGCCCACGCUCUUCCACGCGCCACCCGAAACCACGGCCAGUCAACCAUGUGCCUCUAUCAUCUUUCACGUGCUUUCACGCACUCCAGAGGUUAAAGAAGACUUCAACUGACAUGUCGUUUUUAUCUCCAGAGUGCAGCAGUCUUAAAACGACGUGUCGUUUUUUAGUACAUUAAAACCGACAUGUCGUUUGUAAAGUAGAGACAAAACGAUGUGACGUUUAAUCUCCAAAAGUGCGGCAGUCCUAAAACAACAUGUCGUGUCUAUUCCAUUAGAACCGACAUAUCGUUUCGUCAAGCAGAGGCCAAACGACUUGUCGUUUUUUGAUCUAAAAACUAACCGUCUAACUCCUUAAUAUCAAAAUUGCUAUCUGUGUAGGGUAAGUCAUUGUUAUACAAAUAAAAUCUCCCUGGACACUUUCAGUUACUUGUUCCUAUCUCAGUAACCAACAAAUUGCCUACACAUGUCAAAUUAACAGAAAUUGUGUAGAAACGCCACUUAAAAGACUGUUAUCAUUGCCUUUCAAAUAUUUAAGCCUGGUGAUGCACAAACUUAAUUGUCAUUUUAAAUUUAUCAGAUAGCUCAGUGGACUAACACAUGCCCAUAAAAUCAAAACAACACAUAUUCUGUCAGCACAUUCCGCGGAAACAUACUAUUAUUCCACCAAAUUCAAAAACCAGAAAGCAUAUUCUCAUGUCUUCUUCAACCAAACCGGACAUAGUGCAACACUCACCCAGCAAAACUAAAUAAAGAAGCAGCAACUCACACGACUAAGCAAAGUCUCUACCUCCAAUAUCCCUAGGGGGAAUUAUUUUUUGGGCUAGAAACAAAAAAAUUAAGGAUUCACCAGGACUCAAUUGCUACCCUGACGCAACUCUGGGCGCACAAAAUCUGCAUCUGGUGGCACUGAAAUGUCAACAGUUGGUCUCAACUGAGCACAGACUUCAAUGGACUGGAUCAGAAAGGAAGUUGUUGAUGAGAUCCCCAUUGAUGGGGGCAUCAUUGUCCACUGCCACCAAGGCUUGUUGUGUCAGGAUGUAAUCAAAACGAGGGGCCCAUUUCCUUGAUCCCAAACGGGCUGUGGUAGAGCAGUUGUCCACCAUAAAUGAAACUCCACGAGCAUGCAUGAAUGGAUUCAAUGAAUCCACUGACUCAAUCACACUUUCAUUGAUGAUCUCAGAGUAGGAGUGCCCUUUCUUCCUCAGGAUCUCAAUCUGGAAUUUUUAAAUCCAAAGAGAAGGGUAUCACAAAAUCGAUGUAAGUGAAGGAUUUCAGUCUACAAACUUUAUAUCCCACAAGAAUCACUUCAAAAAGUUCAGUAUAUAAGGAUUUGGUGAAACCACAGUGUUCAAGCAACCAGUGGGGAUGAAUAAAUGCUUGAAAUAUUAAAAAUGAUAUAAACUGAUUUUCCUUUUUCAAGACUCAAGUUAAAGAAUUAUUUCAUUGCACAGGGCAGAUCAUCAUCAUACUGUUGAGAAUGUCAAAUAAAACGACAUUGAAUGAAGUUUUCAAAGACAUAAUCCGCACUUGUCAAAGAGAUAAUCUAUACUUGUCAAAAACACGAUCCGCGCCGAACGGAUUGACACAUUUCCUUCCGUAUUCACAUAUGUAAUCUUUGAAAAAAUGUAGGCUAUGCAUCUAUAAAUAACUC